RNAcentral lists this ribosomal RNA (454 nucleotides) under uncultured bacterium. Its description in RNAcentral is "partial 16S ribosomal RNA". It matches the Rfam family "Bacterial small subunit ribosomal RNA", at positions 341 to 792 of the family's 1533-position model. The record is from RNAcentral.
ACGGGAGGCAGCAGUGAGGAAUAUUGGUCAAUGGGCGGAAGCCUGAACCAGCCAUGCCGCGUGAAGGAAUAAGGCCCUAUGGGUCGUAAACUUCUUUUGUACGGGAGCAAUAAGGGUCACGCGUGAUCCGAUGAGAGUACCGUACGAAUAAGCAUCGGCUAACUCCGUGCCAGCAGCCGCGGUAAUACGGAGGAUGCAAGCGUUAUCCGGAUUUAUUGGGUUUAAAGGGUGCGUAGGCGGCUUAGCAAGUCAGGGGUGAAAUACCGGGGCCUAACUCCGGAACUGCCUUUGAUACUGUGAGGCUUGAAUACUGUUGCCGUGGGAGGAAUGAGUAGUGUAGCGGUGAAAUGCAUAGAUAUUACUCAGAACACCGAUUGCGAAGGCAUCUCACGAAGCAGGGAUUGACGCUGAGGCACGAAAGCGUGGGGAUCAAACAGGAUUAGAUACCCUGGUA